GACGAACCGUGCGACCGUUGUUCGGAAUCACUGGGCUUAAAGGGCGCGUAGGCGGCUUGCCAAGUCGGGGGUGAAAUCCGGCAGCUUAACUGUCGAAGUGCCUUCGAUAUUGGCGAGCUCGAGGGAGGUAGGGGUCUGUGGAACUUCUGGUGGAGCGGUGAAAUGCGUUGAUAUCAGAAGGAACGCCGGUGGCGAAAGCGACGGACUGGACCUCUUCUGACGCUGAGGCGCGAAAGCUAGGGGAGCAAACGGG
Molecule: ribosomal RNA, 253 nt
Filed under: uncultured bacterium
Lineage: Bacteria
Description: partial 16S ribosomal RNA
Rfam family: Bacterial small subunit ribosomal RNA
Source: RNAcentral